AGCCUUCUGUAUCUGUGCUGAAAUCUCGUCACACACCAGACCACAAGGGCUGAUGAGACUUCCAAGAUACGUGAAGCG
RNAcentral lists this microRNA precursor (78 nucleotides) under Schistosoma curassoni. RNAcentral describes it as "mir-3492 microRNA precursor family". It matches the Rfam family "mir-3492 microRNA precursor family". Lineage: Eukaryota; Metazoa; Platyhelminthes; Trematoda; Strigeidida; Schistosomatidae. The record is from Rfam by way of RNAcentral.